GACGAACGCUGGCGGCGUGCCUAAUACAUGCAAGUCGAACGCAGUGGGGACGGCUGAGUAACACGUGGGUAACCUCCCAUCAGAGGGGAUAACACUUGGAAACAGGUGCUAAACCGAUACUGAUUUAUGGACCCGCGGUGCAUUAGCUAGUUGGUGAGGUAACGGCUCACCAAGGCCACGAUGCAUAGCCCACGGGGGAGGGUGAUCGGCGCCACUGGGGGUGAGACACGGCCCAGACUCCUACGGGAGGCAGCAGUAGGGAAUCGGCGGCAGUGGACGAAAGUCUGACCGAGCGACGCCGCGGGUGUGAAGAAGGUUUUCGGAUCGUAAAGCUCUGUUGUUAGAGAAGCGGUAGCUAACCAGAAAGCCACGGCUAACUACGUGCCAGCAGCCGCGGUAAUUC
RNAcentral lists this ribosomal RNA (403 nucleotides) under uncultured bacterium. Its description in RNAcentral is "partial 16S ribosomal RNA". It matches the Rfam family "Bacterial small subunit ribosomal RNA", at positions 28 to 526 of the family's 1533-position model. The record is from RNAcentral.